Non-coding RNA from Acanthosepion pharaonis, 109 nucleotides. The record is from the annotation of a GenBank genome assembly. Lineage: Eukaryota; Metazoa; Mollusca; Cephalopoda; Sepiida; Sepiidae.
UGCCAUAUCACGUUGAAACAGCGGUUCCCGUAUGAUCAGCGAAGUUAAGCAACGUAGAGCCAGGUCAGUGUCUAGAUGGGUGACCGCUUGGGAAUACCAGGUGCUGUAA